CUAUCAUCAUCAUCAUCAUCAUCAUCAACAUAUAUGUUAUCAGAGAUAAUUGUCUUAACCAAUUAAUAGCUGUUGUCAUCAUAGUAUGCACUAAGUUAUUUAACUGUCAGUAAAUUCUGCUGGCCUCUUUUCAACAAAUGCUGUCA
This is a long non-coding RNA of Octopus sinensis (East Asian common octopus), 146 nucleotides long. RefSeq lists it as uncharacterized. The transcript is spliced from 3 exons. The record is from RefSeq and is a predicted model, not a curated record. NCBI's taxonomy places the organism in Eukaryota, Metazoa, Mollusca, Cephalopoda, Octopoda, Octopodidae.